Molecule: non-coding RNA, 26 nt
Filed under: Homo sapiens (human)
Lineage: Eukaryota; Metazoa; Chordata; Mammalia; Primates; Hominidae
Source: RNAcentral
UUGCGGAAACUGUUAGCUCUCUAGAC